UCUUCUCCCACACAAGUCACAAUCCACCAUUCUGCCAACAACAAGACUACAAAUUCCUAUAUCAUUAUCAAGGCAUCGUCUAGCUAAAGAUGAGGACUACCGUGACGGUGCUCCUGCCUCUCGUGUUCCUGCUGGUCGUGCUAGCACCAGGUAUGUGCCCAUUUGUCCAUGUAAUGACUACGUUGGUUCACAGAUUAAAUGGCUAGUGUAGCUACAAACUAAACUGCCGUCAGUUCAAAGGAAAACUGUGGCCAUGCAAUGGUGUUUAUACCAAUAAUUAUCCUCUUCUUCUUCUUUGCUGCAGCCGAGGCGAGGGAGGAUUGUACAUACACAAUCCUCGAUCUGAAAGGCCAGGCAUGCGAUCGUGCUAUUUGUUCCUUCAACAGCCGGGUAGCGUUCGCUCAGCUUGGGUGCCCGAAACCUUCGACCAGUUGCUCUUGGAAAAGCGAGUGCACCAGUGCGGGGUGCAACUUCACCUACUGCAUGUAUAGCUAAGAUAGGUCGGCAUGUCGAUCUGAUAGAAUAAACAAGAUGAUUGCAUGGAUGGGAAUGCAGUAUGUAGUUUUGCUCGCUGCAAAGUGAUGUGCCUGAAUGGUAAAUUAUUUAUGUGCCUACUAUGCAUAUAUCUUGUUUUUCAUAUUAUCUAAAAGAAUCCAUUCAGUUUAUAUAUCUUCUAUUUUUCUUUACC
RNAcentral lists this long non-coding RNA (688 nucleotides) under Hordeum vulgare. Its description in RNAcentral is "long non-coding RNA (HVUL_LNC020113)". The record is from RNAcentral. Lineage: Eukaryota; Viridiplantae; Streptophyta; Magnoliopsida; Poales; Poaceae.